Molecule: ribosomal RNA, 473 nt
Filed under: Kroyeria dispar
Lineage: Eukaryota; Metazoa; Arthropoda; Copepoda; Siphonostomatoida; Kroyeriidae
Description: partial 16S ribosomal RNA
Rfam family: Archaeal large subunit ribosomal RNA
Source: RNAcentral
UCGCCUGUUUAACAAAAACAUCUCUAAAUAUUUUAGUAAUCCUGCCCACUGAUAAAAUUUUAACGGCUCCCCUAAGGUAGCGUAAUAAUUAGUUUAUUAAUUAUAAACCUGUAUGAAGGAAUUACCAAAUGCGAAUAAAUAAUCUCUUUCUUUUAACUUUAGAUUUCAGUGCAAACGCUAAAAUUUUCUUUUUAGACGAUAAGACCCUAAAAUCUUUCAAUUUUUCAUUGGGAUGAUUCUGUUUAUUAACAAAACUCUUUUAAAUUUUAAGAACCUUACCUAAGCUAAAAGCUUAAGAUACUUUAGGGAUAACAGCUUUUAAACUUUCUCAAGCACUUAUUAAAAAAGAUUUAAAGACCUCGAUGUUGAAUUAACCUUUUUUAGCCGCAAAAGGCUCCCUAUUCUAGUCUGUUCGACUUAUUUAGGUUACAUGAUUUGAGUUAAAAUCGACGUAAGCCAGGUUGGUUUCUAUC